RNAcentral lists this ribosomal RNA (480 nucleotides) under uncultured bacterium. RNAcentral's name for it is "partial 16S ribosomal RNA". It matches the Rfam family "Bacterial small subunit ribosomal RNA", at positions 28 to 507 of the family's 1533-position model. The record is from RNAcentral.
GACGAACGCUGGCGGCGUGCUUAACACAUGCAAGUUGAACGAGAAUUUUUCGAGUGAUUUCUUCGGAAUGAUCAUGAAAAAGGAAAGUAGCGAACGGGUGAGUAACACGUGAGAAACCUGCCUUUCACAAAGGGAUAGCCUCGGGAAACCGGGAUUAAUACCUUAUGAAACCAAACACUCGAAUGAGAGAUUGGAUAAAGAUUUAUCGGUGUUAGAUGGUCUCGCGUCUGAUUAGCUAGUUGGUGGGAUAAAAGCCUACCAAGGCAACGAUCAGUAGCCGGCUUGAGAGGUUGAACGGCCACACUGGAACUGAGACACGGUCCAGACUCCUACGGGAGGCAGCAGUGGGGAAUUUUGCACAAUGGAGGAAACUCUGAUGCAGCGACGCCGCGUGAGUGAUGAAGGUCUUCGGAUUGUAAAACUCUGUCCUUAGUGCAGAUAAUGACAGUAACUAAGAAGCAAGCCCUCGCUAAAUACGUG